Molecule: long non-coding RNA, 3063 nt
Organism: Clupea harengus (Atlantic herring)
Lineage: Eukaryota; Metazoa; Chordata; Actinopteri; Clupeiformes; Clupeidae
Source: Ensembl
GGCAGGAGUGUUGCUUGUGUUGGAGGGGGAGCACAAGUGAAAGGAGUCAGGACAGAUAAGAUGGCUCUACAAGCGUCAAACCAUUUAUUCCCCCAUCCAUGAAAAGGGGUAUGUAAAAGGGAGUGUGGUGGUCAGGGCGAUGAAUGUGAAGACCACAGAGAAGAGUCCUGAACACACAUUUCCGAAGCCUCACCAUGCUACCGGGGACACAAGCGAUCCAGUCCCUCACACUCCUACCCAGAGAUCUACUCAAAGGGAGAGCAAGAACGGUAAGUGUUCACCUAGGGUAUUAUACACUCAUGAUGUCCACCUAGGGUCACAUGUACUCAACAUAGGGGUAUUAUACACUCAGGAUGUCCACUUAAGGUACUCAACAUAGGGGUAUUGUACACUCAUGAUGUCCACCUAGGGUCACAUGUACUCAACAUAGGGGUAUUAUACACUCAGGAUGUCCACCUAGGGUCACAUGUACUCAACAUAGGGGUAUUAUACACUCAGGAUGUCCACUUAAGGUACUCAACAUAGGGGUAUUGUACACUCAUGAUGUUCUCCUAGGGUAAUCAACAUAGGGGUAUUGUACACUCAGGAUGUCCACUUAAGGUACUCAACAUAGGGGUAUUGUACACUCAUGAUGUCCACUUAAGGUACUCAACAUAGGGGUAUUGUACACUCAGGAUGUCCACUUAAGGUACUCAACAUAGGGGUAUUGUACACUCAUGAUGUUCUCCUAGGGUCACAUGUACUCACCUUUGGGGUAUUGUACACUCAUGAGAAUAUGUAUUAAUUCUAUGAAGCUUGAUGGCAAAGCAGAUAGGAAUUUCCAUCAUGAUCUGUGUUGUAUUGGCUAUAUGUCGCGACGCCUGCCCAACUCCGGAAAACAAUCAAGGCCCACGUAAGCCUAAGUUUGUAAACAGCUUCGAACACAAAAGGUUGAAUCAUUUUUGGACGGGCUCUUUGAAAGCUUAAGAUAGGCCGCCGUCUUAAGAGAGUCACUGGCCUUCGCCAAUGUACAUACCAGGUAAAUAGGUAAGCAUGCACAAGGCUGGCGAGUGCCAAGUGACUCCCCGCGCCAGAUAAAACAAGCUCGUUUGAACGUUUUAUUAAAACCAGCUGAUGACUAAUCCAUGCUGAAAUAACGGUGUGCUCUGCUUUUCAACUUCACAGUUUAAUCAAACCAGCUUAAAUGCCACUUGAAUCACAAGGUUGGAGGGAUGAAAGUAUUUGUGGAAUCCUGUGAUAGAACCUUGUAUUUUUAGAACGGAUGGUUCCCUGGGCUCCCCAGCGAACGGCGAGAGAAAUACAGCGGUUCCCACUUCACUUUAAGAGCCAAUAGAAGUUUUCCAUGAUGUCAUGUGUGGCGGUUGGGUGAGAGUAAUUGAAGAGGCAAAUGAACACAAACUCGAGUCUCCCCGAGUUCAGCCAUUUAUUUAUUUAUCCAGUUUUUUUGCGUGUUCUUCAUCCUCCCAGUUUAAAAGAAGGUAAUGCCUUAAGCACUUUGACGACGCAAUAUUACACACACAAUGUGUCAGUGCUCCAUGAUUGAAGUUCGAAUGAAAGAUACAACGGAGAUGCCAUCAUAGUCUGGGAUUUCGCACUGAAUCACCUCCAACCUUACUGCUCCAUUUGCAAAGAUGAACAGGAGUCACCGUGGAAACAAAAACAAGUUAUUGUUAUUGUGGAGCUGUACACUGACUUCUUACUUGUGGAUUAUGAUUCGGUUAAAUCAGUAUUGUAAUCGAUGUUUCCUUGUCUAUUUAAAAUGGUUAACAUAAAACAAGAGGGAAUAAUAAUCUCCAUUAAAGAGUGACAUGUAACACAGUGGCCCAUACUGAAAUCCUGUGCAGGAGAGUGGUUGUGAAAAGCUGUUUCAUCAAACAGAAUCAGUAUUGGUUCUGGGGGUGUGGUAUGGAAAUGGACAUUUAGCUGAAGACUAGUACCUCUGCAGAUGGUAAGGAUUAGUAUAUGUACGUUAGUCACUUGGAUGCCACCAUAGUUUGUGGCAGUUGAUGGUGCUCCUUCACACUAAUAUUUGCAUGCAGUCACUUAUCAGGCCUUUAACAUUUUCAUUCAUAUCAAUUCAUAGGACUGCACACACUAUUUAAGCAAAUGAGCUGAAUGAAACUAUCAAACACAUUGUCCCUGACAUUGCUACAACUUCCCUCUUACAUUGAAAUGAAUCAUUAAAUUAUAAAGAAUAAGUCAUGUACAGAUUGUAAAGGGCAGAUGUGUUUUGUUUUCCUUGCAGUCCCUCACUACUGAACUACAGCCUCGGUCAGUAACUGAGUAAGUGGACCUGUACCUCAGCUAGUAGAGCAAGGUGCUAACAAUAUGAAGGUCAUGGGUUUGACACCCAGGGUGUGCACCUACUAAUGAAAAUAUAUAUCUGUCCUGUAAGUUGCUUUGACUAAAAGUAUCUGCAAAAUAAAUUAAGGGAAAUGUAAUAAGCAAGGAAGGUGAUAUAACUGCCAAUCUUUGCAAACCAAGCCAUUCUUUUUUAUUUUUCUCAUUAUUAUUAUUAUCAUUAUUAUGUAUUUUGUCAUAAUUGUAUUCACAAUGUUUUACAUUCUUUGAUGGUCUUGCUUCAUUACUCAUGGGCCACUCAAUACAAAAAGCAAGUGGGCCUCAAGGCCUUUUGUGUGACCCACUUCUAUGAAAUAUCCUUCAGCGGUUACACAUGUUGCACAGCUUUACAGGACAGACCACAUUACAAAAGAUCUGUUGCUUUCCCACAUCCUAGUGUGUUAAAACAAGUUUAAGCCAUUUUUAAUGAAGACAUAUUCAUCUCUGUCCAAGAUGAAAUGCAUGGUCUUGACAGAGGCUACUUAUUAUGGAGCUAAACAAUAGUUGUCAGGUUUGAAAAUGAGUUUGCAUUGUAUGGUGGCAUAAUCAGACUUUUCAUGAUUGUAAAUCCACGACUUGUUUGUUCUACAAGCAUGCAUUUGUAGUGCCAGAAGUCUGUCAACAAGUUUGAGUUUAGUUCCAUAUGAAAAAUUGUGGGAGUGAAUCUCUGUUUUUUACCAAGACACAUACAAGGUUAACUCCUACAUGCCUUGUGCUUGUGCC